Molecule: ribosomal RNA, 503 nt
Filed under: uncultured bacterium
Lineage: Bacteria
Description: bacterial SSU rRNA
Rfam family: Bacterial small subunit ribosomal RNA
Source: RNAcentral
UGGGGAAUCUUGGACAAUGGGGGCAACCCUGAUCCAGCCAUGCCGCGUGAGUGAUGAAGGCCUUAGGGUCGUAAAGCUCUUUCGCCUGUGAAGAUAAUGACGGUAGCAGGUAAAGAAACCCCGGCUAACUCCGUGCCAGCAGCCGCGGUAAUACGGAGGGGGUUAGCGUUGUUCGGAAUUACUGGGCGUAAAGCGCACGUAGGCGGACCAGAAAGUUGGGGGUGAAAUCCCGGGGGCUCAACCCCGGAACUGCCUCCAAAACUAUUGGUCUAGAGUUCGAGAGAGGUGAGUGGAAUUCCAAGUGUAGAGGUGAAAUUCGUAGAUAUUUGGAGGAACACCAGUGGCGAAGGCGGCUCACUGGCUCGAUACUGACGCUGAGGUGCGAAAGUGUGGGGAGCAAACAGGAUUAGAUACCCUGGUAGUCCACACCGUAAAACGAUGAAUGCCAGUCGUCGGGUAGCAUGCUAUUCGGUGACACACCUAACGGAUUAAGCAUUCCGCCU